This is a long non-coding RNA of Canis lupus familiaris (dog), 1349 nucleotides long. RefSeq lists it as uncharacterized. Lineage: Eukaryota; Metazoa; Chordata; Mammalia; Carnivora; Canidae. The transcript is spliced from 3 exons. The record is from RefSeq and is a predicted model, not a curated record.
AUAAGACUGACUCAGGUCUUCUCACUUGGAUCUGAAGACACUGCCAGACGCGUCAUGGUUAGCAGCCUGAGCCCCUGAACCCCUGGAUCAAGGAAGUGAGGAUUCGAAUUCAAGCUCUAUGACACCAGAAUGAUGUGACUAAUCACGCCUGCCGCAUGGAAUUAUUCUGGAGAGUAAACAGGCCCAAAGGAGGGAAAUCACAUCGUGAUUUCACAUCAUGAAAGCGCUCCUGCUCCUUGUGGCAGGGAGGCUUCCAGCCCCUCAAGGGACAGCCCUCCCCAGCGUCCUUUGUUUCGUUUCUGCACAAGGAAAGAUGCGCCCCAGCACCUACCAAUUGCUGGGAGGCCUCUGCACGGCAGCCCCAUGGGAAGAGCUUCUCUGGGGAGAGGUGGGACCCCGAGGACCAAGUCGCUGGGCCCAGGGAUCCUUCCCUGGGAUGAUGCUAACCCAGAGAUACAGGUAGAAUUAUGGGGGACAACUACUAGGUACUCAACCUCCACCAUUCUGGUAACACCCCGAUUUUCCUUUGGGGAGCCACCUCUCCAUCACGUUCAGCCCACAUCAGCCUCUGCAGUUGAUGCCCCACCCAAUCCAGGUCACAUGACCCCACGUGGCCAAUGGGCAUGUUCCAGGCCAGUCCAGGGACUCCCCACAGGCACCUGCCUAGUGAGCCUACUGAAGCUCAAUCCUCCAUACUCAGAAUUUUGGGGGUAAAGAAAAUCUCUUUCUUAACUUGGAAGGUCUGCGUCUGACUAGGAGUCACCUCACAGGACACCCAGUGUGACAGGAAAGCCAACAUAGAAGAAGGUAGUGGGGCACCUGGCUGGCUCAGUUGGAAGAGCAACCCACUCUUGAUCUUGGGGUGGUGAGCUCCAGGCCCACGAUGGGUGUAGAGAUGAAUGAAUGAAUGAAUGAAUGAAUGGGAGUAGAGCUCAGAAAGGUUGAGACAAAGUCCUGAGAACGUCAUAUAAGCCCCUAAAUCCAUCUGUGCCUGAAGUUUGCGUAUACUUGGACUUUCCACGUACACAAGUCAAUACAUUCUACUUUUUUCCAAAGCUGCUUUGAACCAGAUUUCUGACACUUGCAACCAAGGAGCUUCAACAGUGACCUCAAUUCAAUUCCACAAGUGUCUGUUGUGCCAGAUCAGGCUCAGUCUACACCAGCCACUCUAGGUUCUUAAAGUGAAGCAAAUUACAGGUCUUUAGCCAUGAACAGAUCACAAAAAAGAAAAACCUUUUCUGUUACCUGUGUCUAGCCAAUAAAUAGAAUCCAAAGCACAAGGGCCAUCCACUCUCUUUCCAUUGAGAAUAUCAGAAAUCUGAUUGGUGUGUGGUUAGAAAACAAAAUAU